UGGAGAGUUUGAUCCUGGCUCAGAUUGAACGCUGGCGGCAGGCCUAACACAUGCAAGUCGAGCGGAAACGAGUUAUCUGAACCUUCGGGGAACGAUAACGGCGUCGAGCGGCGGACGGGUGAGUAAUGCCUAGGAAAUUGCCCUGAUGUGGGGGAUAACCAUUGGAAACGAUGGCUAAUACCGCAUAAUACCUACGGGUCAAAGAGGGGGACCUUCGGGCCUCUCGCGUCAGGAUAUGCCUAGGUGGGAUUAGCUAGUUGGUGAGGUAAUGGCUCACCAAGGCGACGAUCCCUAGCUGGUCUGAGAGGAUGAUCAGCCACACUGGAACUGAGACACGGUCCAGACUCCUACGGGAGGCAGCAGUGGGGAAUAUUGCACAAUGGGCGCAAGCCUGAUGCAGCCAUGCCGCGUGUGUGAAGAAGGCCUUCGGGUUGUAAAGCACUUUCAGUCGUGAGGAAGGUAGUGUAGUUAAUAGCUGCAUUAUUUGACGUUAGCGACAGAAGAAGCACCGGCUAACUCCGUGCCAGCAGCCGCGGUAAUACGGAGGGUGCGAGCGUUAAUCGGAAUUACUGGGCGUAAAGCGCAUGCAGGUGGUUUGUUAAGUCAGAUGUGAAAGCCCGGGGCUCAACCUCGGAAUAGCAUUUGAAACUGGCAGACUAGAGUACUGUAGAGGGGGGUAGAAUUUCAGGUGUAGCGGUGAAAUGCGUAGAGAUCUGAAGGAAUACCGGUGGCGAAGGCGGCCCCCUGGACAGAUACUGACACUCAGAUGCGAAAGCGUGGGGAGCAAACAGGAUUAGAUACCCUGGUAGUCCACGCCGUAAACGAUGUCUACUUGGAGGUUGUGGCCUUGAGCCGUGGCUUUCGGAGCUAACGCGUUAAGUAGACCGCCUGGGGAGUACGGUCGCAAGAUUAAAACUCAAAUGAAUUGACGGGGGCCCGCACAAGCGGUGGAGCAUGUGGUUUAAUUCGAUGCAACGCGAAGAACCUUACCUACUCUUGACAUCCAGAGAACUUUCCAGAGAUGGAUUGGUGCCUUCGGGAACUCUGAGACAGGUGCUGCAUGGCUGUCGUCAGCUCGUGUCGUGAA
This 1087-nucleotide ribosomal RNA is filed under the name Vibrio harveyi. RNAcentral's name for it is "bacterial SSU rRNA". It matches the Rfam family "Bacterial small subunit ribosomal RNA", at positions 1 to 1071 of the family's 1533-position model. The record is from RNAcentral. Lineage: Bacteria; Pseudomonadati; Pseudomonadota; Gammaproteobacteria; Vibrionales; Vibrionaceae.